This is a non-coding RNA of Acanthosepion pharaonis, 88 nucleotides long. The record is from the annotation of a GenBank genome assembly. NCBI's taxonomy places the organism in Eukaryota, Metazoa, Mollusca, Cephalopoda, Sepiida, Sepiidae.
ACCACGGUUCUCGUCCGGUCACCGAAGUUAAGCAAAGUAGAGACUGGUCAGUACCUAGAUGAGUGACCACUCGGGAAUGCUAGGGGGU